Molecule: long non-coding RNA, 1028 nt
Organism: Mastomys coucha (southern multimammate mouse)
Lineage: Eukaryota; Metazoa; Chordata; Mammalia; Rodentia; Muridae
Exons: 3
Source: RefSeq, a predicted model, not a curated record
GCCUCGCUCCCGCCCCUUCUUCCGCCGGGCGAGCCCCCGCCUGCGUCGAGCCCCGGCGCGGCCGCGCGCGCGGUUGGACAGCGCCGCCACCCGUUUGGCGCCAAGAACUGCCCCGCGCGGGCGCCUCCGGGAGGCCGGCGGCCGAGCGGGCGCGCGGAGGAGGAGGAGGAGGAGCCCCGGUGGCGGGAAGCGGACCCCGGGAGGCGCCGGUUGGCGACUCUGCUCCUUGCCCCCGCGGAGUCCCGGGAUCUUGAAGGCUUGUCUUGUGGUGGGGGAGAUGUGACCGGACUGGUUGAGAAAUGGUUAAUUCCUCGGAGAAAACUGCAGGUUCUCCCCUCCGAACGGAGCUCUAGACGCCAAGGCAAAGUUUUACAACUUGGCACGACGCGGGCUGCUUGUUCUUGCGUCUUCCGAGAGUCGCCCGAGGUCGCAGCCUACGACCUUAGUUAGACUCCCACCAUUAAGAUGUUUCAAAGCUGCAAAAUAAAAUAGGAAGUUGGCGUUCGAUCUCAAGCUAUGGCUUCUGGCCUCCCGAUCAUUUUGGGGAAAGGAUUGCCAAAGAAAACUCAGUGCAGCAGUGUUUGAGCAGUUUAAGCUUGUCAAGUGGUCAUAAGCAAAGAGAUGAGAAGAAAUUGGCGAUAUCCUGACGACAGAAGAUUGUUCUUGCCCCAGGAAAUCAGCAUGAAGUAGGAAGGGAUUAGGGAGGAGUAAGGGUUGGGAGAGAGGUACAUAUGUAGGACCUGUGAUGGUUUGUAUAUGAUCGACCCAGGAAUAGCGCUAUUAGAUGUGGCCCUGUUGAAGUAGGCAUGUCACUGUGGAUGUAGGCUUUAAAACACUUAUCCUAGCCGCUUGGAAGUCAAUCUUCCUUCAAUGAAGAUAUUGAAUCCUCAGCUCAGCCUGCAUCCUGCCUGCCUGCCUGAAUGUUGUCAUACUCCUGGUUGAUAAUGGACUGAACCUCUGAACCUGUAAGCCAAGGGCCAGCCUCUCAAGUCUUCACUUGUAUUACUGAUAUAAAGUCUUUCACUGAA